This 66-nucleotide transfer RNA is filed under the name Limnoperna fortunei. RNAcentral describes it as "tRNA-Leu". It matches the Rfam family "tRNA". Rfam says of the family: Transfer RNA (tRNA) molecules are approximately 80 nucleotides in length. The record is from RNAcentral. Lineage: Eukaryota; Metazoa; Mollusca; Bivalvia; Mytilida; Modiolidae.
GAUAGGGUGGCAGAUUAAUGCAUCAGAUUUAAGCUUUGAAGAUAAAGGAUUAAUCCUUUUCCUGUC